ACGAAUGGAUGGAGAUGGUCAGAAAUUUUGAAAGAGAGAAAGAGUAUGUUGAAAUCCAGUGUGUUUAUUUUCAGCUUAUUGUAACCAACCGCCAACUCGCCGUCGCCGACCAGAUUGUAGGAGAGUCCUAAUUACUAAGUACUACUCAAGGGUGGCUUAAUACACUCCUUGCUACAUUGCUUGUCGCCUCUGUAUACGUGCGAGUGUUGCUCCUUGUGAUGCUGAGACCAUAAUUCUGGAAGUACGACUUGGGGUAGAGAUACCAAGGCUAACUUGGCAAGAAAGAUGGAUUUGCAAGGGGCUUUGUAAGCAAGUCUGCCACUUGCAUCUUGGAUGAAACAUG
Non-coding RNA from Sesamum indicum (sesame), 343 nucleotides. The record is from RefSeq and is a predicted model, not a curated record. Lineage: Eukaryota; Viridiplantae; Streptophyta; Magnoliopsida; Lamiales; Pedaliaceae.